GCACAUCGCUGAGUGAACCAGUUAUCAGACCCAGCCAUGUAUAGCCAAAGAUAGUGCUUCCAGCCACAGAAUUGCUCUCCAGGAAGACUGACCUGCUAUUAGGCACAGGAUUUGUGUGAAAUGCACCGUUUGGGUCCCCAGCCAUACUCCAUGCCAAGAACACUAUUAUCUAUGGAGACUCAUUGACACAGAAGAUGGCGAGCUUGCUGGGAGGUCAGGAGGCAAAACAGGCCAAACAGAAUAAUUUUUGGAAAACUUCCUUUUCCAAAAAAUCUAUUAUAAAAAUCUAAAGUUGACCUCAGAUGUAUUUUACUUGUCAAUUGACCUGGAGAAUCAGGUUCUCAUGUUUGUGACACCCACGUCACAAACUAAUUAUUUUAAUUCUGACCUUGAGUCUUGUUCUGUUUUUCAAGGAUUGGUAGGAAUUAUUGAUUAUGAGACCAUGAACAAAUAGUUGAAAUUAAAACAGUCACUUCCUAC
This 480-nucleotide long non-coding RNA is filed under the name Rattus norvegicus (Norway rat). RNAcentral's name for it is "long non-coding RNA NONRATT018430". Lineage: Eukaryota; Metazoa; Chordata; Mammalia; Rodentia; Muridae. The record is from RNAcentral.